RNAcentral lists this ribosomal RNA (2940 nucleotides) under Phycisphaerae bacterium. RNAcentral's name for it is "23S ribosomal RNA". It matches the Rfam family "Bacterial large subunit ribosomal RNA". The record is from RNAcentral. Lineage: Bacteria; Pseudomonadati; Planctomycetota; Phycisphaerae.
GAUCAAGCUACGAAGGGUGCAUGGUGAAUGUCUAGGCGCGAUGAGGCGAUGAAGGACGUGGUAGGCUGCGAUAAGCCCAGGGGAGCUGUCAAACGAGCUUUGAUCCUGGGAUGUCCGAAUGGGGAAACCCGGCGUCACUGUGAGAGCAGAUGGCGUCACCGGCGGCUGAAUGCAUAGGUCGUCGGGGCGAACGCGGUAAACUGAAACAUCUAAGUAACCGCAGGAAGAGAAAUCAACCGAGACUCCGUCAGUAGCGGCGAGCGAAAGCGGACCAGCCCAAACCCCGGCUACGGCCGGGGGGUUGUGGGCGCCGAUCUAGGCCCAACGUCUUGGCAGCUGAAGUGUCUGGAAAGUCACACGAUACAGGGUGACAGUCCCGUAAGCGACACCGAGACGAGCCGUUAUGGUCGGCGUACCAGAGUAGCGCGGAUGCCGUGGAACUCCGCGUGAAGCUGGGGGGUCCACCCCCCAAGGCUAAGUACUCCAUCGCGACCGAUAGUGCACAAGUAGGGCGACUGAAUGAUGAAAAGAACCCCUAUUAGGGGAGUGAAAAGUACCUGAAACCAUGUACCUACGAGUUGUCGGAGCCCUAUGCCCGGUCUUCGGACCGGGAACGGGUGACGGCGUGCCUUUUGCAUAAUGAACCGGCGAGUUACGGUGUGCGGCCGGCUAAGCCCCUCAGGGGCGGAGCCGUAGCGAAAGCGAGUCUGAACAGGGCGCCGAAGGUCGCAUGCUGCAGACCCGAAACUGGGUGAUCUACCCAUGGCCAGGUUGAAUGCCGAGUAACAUCGGCAAGAGGACCGAACCCACCAACGUUGAAAAGUUGGGGGAUGAGCUGUGGGGAGGAGUGAAAGUCUAAUCAAACCCAGCGAUAUCUGGUUCUCUCCGAAAUAGCUCUUGGGCUAGCCUCGGGCCAUUGCGCGGCGGGGGUAGAGCACUGAAUGAAACGAGGGGCCCACCAGGCUACCUCCUUCAACCAAACUCCGAAUACCGCCGCGUGUACCCCGGGAGUCAGACUGUGGGGGAUAACCUCCAUGGUCGAAAGGGAAACAACCCAGACCGCCGCUUAAGGUCCCCAAACCGUGCUAAGUGACUAAGGAAGUCGGAUUGCUGAGACAGCCAGGAUGUUGGCUUAGAAGCAGCCAUCAUUUAAAAAGUGCGUAACAGCUUACUGGUCGAGCAACCCGGCGCCAAUAAUGAUCGGGACUAAGCACGGUACCAAAUGCGCGGCCCUGCAUCGCUUCGUGCGAGGCAGGGGGUAGGAGAGCGUAGCUGUCGGCGUCGAAGCGGUACCGCAAGGAGCCGUGGAGCGUCAGCUAGUGAGAAUGCCGGUAUGAGUAACGAUAAAGCAGGUGAAAAUCCUGCUCGCCGAAAGCCUAAGGUUUCCUGGGGAAGGUAAAUCCGCCCAGGGUUAGUCGGGACCUAAGUCCAGGCCGAAAGGCGUAGACGAUGGAUGGCAGGUUAAUAUUCCUGCACUGCGCGUGGCGGUUGAACCGCGGAUGACGCAUCUACAAACCAGAUCCCACCGUCAGUCGUGUGGGUUGGGGGCGGCGUAAGCCGCCAGCUCGAGGCCGAUUUGUUGCCGAAGUCUGGAGAGCAGGUGCCGAGAAAAGCUCCGCGGGGACAAAGCGCGCACCCGUACUAAAACUGACACAGGUAGGCGAGGAGAGUAUCCUCAGGCGCUCGAGAGAACCGUCCUUAAGGAACUCGGCAAAUUGACCCCGUACGUUCGCAAUAAGGGGUCCCUCCCGGCUGGACAUCUGGAAAACUGGCUGUCCGGCUGGAGGGCGCAGAGAAAUGGCUCUGGCGACUGUUUAUCAAAAACACAGGUCUCUGCUAACUCGUAAGAGGAUGUAUAGAGACUGACGCCUGCCCGGUGCCGGAAGGUCAAGGAAGCAGGUUAUCCUUCGGGAGAAGCUUGCAACCAAAGCCCCGGUAAACGGCGGCUCUAACUAUGAGAGUCCUAUGGUAGCGAAGUUCCUUGUCGGGUAAGUUCCGACGUGCAUGAAUGGCGUAACGACUGGAGCACUGUCUCAAGGACGGACUCGGUGAAAUUACAAUGGCGGUGAAGAUGCCGCCUACCCGCGGCAAGACGGAAAGACCCCGUGAACCUUUACUGUAACCUGGUAUUGGUGUCUUGUGUUGCAUGCGUAGGAUAGGUGGGAGGCGUUGAAAUUCCGGUUCCGGCCGGGAUGGAGCCAUCCUUGAAAUACCACCCUUGCGGCAUGGGCCGCCUAACCCCGACCCGUGAAUCCGGGCGGGGGACCGUGCUAGGUGGGCAGUUUGACUGGGGCGGUCUCCUCCUAAAAGGUAACGGAGGAGCCCAAAGGCGUCCUCAGCACGGUUGGCAAUCGUGCGAUGAGUGUAAGGGCAUAAGGGCGCUUGACUGUGAGACAGAUACGUCGAGCAGAUGUGAAAGCAGGGCUUAGUGACCCGGUGGUCCCGUGUGGAAGGGCCAUCGCUUAUCAGAUAAAAGGUACUCCGGGGAUAACAGGCUGAUCGCUCCCGAGCGUUCAUAGCGGCGGAGCGGUUUGGCACCUCGAUGUCGGCUCAUCACAUCCUGGGGCUGAAGGCGGUCCCAAGGGUUCGGCUGUUCGCCGAUUAAAGUGGUACGCGAGCUGGGUUCAGACCGGCGUGAGCCAGGUCGGUCCCUAUCUGCCGUGGGCGCAGGAAUCUUGAGGGGAUUCUUCUUCAGUACGAGAGGACCUCGAAGGACGAACCUCUGGUGCACCAGUUGUCCCGCUAGGGGCACCGCUGGGUAGCUAAGUUCGGAACGGAUAACCGCUGAAGGCAUCUAAGCGGGAAGCCCACCCCAAGAUCAGGAUUCCAUGUCCCUUCGGGGACGAGAGCCCCCACCAAGACCAGGUGGUUGAUAGGCCGGAGGUGUAAGAUCGGAAACGAUUUGAGCUGACCGGUACUAACGGGCAAGCGCUUGAUCAC